RNAcentral lists this unclassified non-coding RNA (208 nucleotides) under uncultured Hymenogaster. Its description in RNAcentral is "sequence contains ITS2". Lineage: Eukaryota; Fungi; Basidiomycota; Agaricomycetes; Agaricales; Hymenogastraceae. The record is from RNAcentral.
AAUUCUCAACCUUAUCAGUUUAUUUCUGAUAGUGGUUUGGAUGUGGGGGUUUCUUGCUGGCUGAGGUCAGCUCCCCUUAAAUGCAUUAGCUGGUGCCCCGUUUGGACUGUCUAGUUGGUGUGAUAAUUAUCUACGCCAUGGAUGUCUGCAAUCAAUAAGGGUUUUAGCACUGCUUCUAACCGUCUGUUAAUUCAGACAAUACAUGACA